GUGAAACCGCAAAAGGCUCAGUAAACCAGUCAUGAUUCACUUGAGUAUACUUGACUGUCUUUGGAUAACUGUGGUAAUCCUAGAGCUAAUACAUGCAAUCAAGUCCCGACCAGUCUGACUGGGAAGGACGCUUUUAUUAGAUCAAGACCAAUCGCCCGGUUCGUCCGGGCGUAGCCUUGGUGACUCUAGGUAACACAUCAGAUCGCAUGGUCUCAGCACCGGCGACUCAUCUUUCAAAUGCCUGACUUAUCAACUGUCGAUGGUAGACUCUAUGUCUACCAUGGUUGUAACGGGUAACGGGGAAUCAGGGUUCGAUUCCGGAGAGGGAGCCUGAGAAACGGCUACCACAUCCAAGGAAGGCAGCAGGCACGCAAAUUACCCACUCCCGGCACGGGGAGGUAGUGACAAAAAAUAACGAUACGGGACUCUUUUGAGGCCCCGUAAUCGGAAUGAGAACACUUUAAAUCCUUUAUCGAAGAUCCAUUGGAGGGCAAGUCUGGUGCCAGCAGCCGCGGUAACUCCAGCUCCAAAAGCGUAUAUUAAAGUUGUUGCGGUUAAAAAGCUCGUAGUUGGUUCUGCGUGCUACGCUGUUGGUUCGCCGCCUGUCGGUGUAACUGGCAUGCCGUGGCAUGUCCUGUCGGUGGCGAGCGGGAGCCUUGUCUGGUGUCAAGUUUCGGGUUCGUCCCGUUAUUUGGCUACCGGGGGUCCAACCCGUUCGCCUACUUCAUCCUACCUAGGUGCUCUUCACCGAGUGUCGAGGUAGGCCGACACGUUUACUUUGAACAAAUUAGAGUGCUCAAAGCAGGCUGAAAUCUCUGCCUGAAUAGUGGUGCAUGGAAUAAUGAAACAGGACCUUGGUUCUAUUUUGUUGGUUCUUAGGAACACAAGGUAAUGAUCAAUACGGACAGGCGGGGGCAUUCGUAUUGCGACGUUAGAGGUGAAAUUCUUGGAUCGUCGCAAGACGCACAAGAGCGAAAGCAUUUGCCAAGUAUGUCUUGAUUGAUCAAGACCAUAAACGAUGCCAGCCAGCGAUCCGCCGAUGUUCCUCCGAUGACUCGGCGGGGAGCUUCUUCCCGGGAAACCAAAGCUUUUGGGUUCCGGGGGAAGUAUGGUUGCAAAGCUGAAACUUAAAGGAAUUGACGGAAAGGCACCACCAGGACUGGAGCCUGCGGCUUAAUUUGACUCAACACGGGAAACCUCACCAGGCCAGGACAUUGGAAGGAUUGACAGAUUGAUAGCUCUUUCUUGAUUCAGUGGGUAGUGGUGCAUGGCCGUUCUUAGUUGGUGGAUCGAUUUGUCUGGUUAAUUCCGAUAACGAACGAGACUCUAGCCUAUUAACUAGGCGUUACCGGUGUCCUCGCCACCGGCGACACUCAUUCUUCUUAAGGGGACAGGCGGCUUAUAGCCGCACGAGAUUGAGCGAUAACAGGUCUGUGAUGCCCUUAGAUGUCCUGGGCCGCACGCGCGCUACACUGAAGGAAUCAGCGUGUGACUCCCAGGCCGAAAGGUCCGGGUAAUCCGCUGAACCUCCUGCGUGCUAGGAAUUGGGGCUUGCAAUUGUUCCCCAUGAACGAGGAACUCCCAGUAAGCGCGAGUCAUAAGCUCGCGUUGAUUACGUCCCUGCCCUUUGUACACACCGCCCGUCGCUACUACCGAUUGAAUGAUUUAGUGAGGUCUUCGGACUGGCGGUAAUCGCGGCCGACUCGUCGGUCGUGAUGAACGUUGGGAAGAUGACCAAACUUGAUCAUUAGAGGAAGUAAAAGUCGUAACAAGGUUCCCGUAGGUGA
This 1787-nucleotide ribosomal RNA is filed under the name Usingerella sp. 20020C-17. RNAcentral's name for it is "SSU rRNA". It matches the Rfam family "Eukaryotic small subunit ribosomal RNA". Lineage: Eukaryota; Metazoa; Arthropoda; Insecta; Hemiptera; Miridae. The record is from RNAcentral.